CAAAGAAUUCUUCUUUCUACUUCACAAAGCAAUGAACAAACCUGUAUCCCCUUGGGGAAGGACGAGAACCUUCGACCAAGGCUCGAAUUGAGCGCAGCGAAAUAACAAUGCAUGCAGGGCGAGGAACGAAGUGACAAGUCAUUCUUCCCCCACCAUUU
This 158-nucleotide unclassified non-coding RNA is filed under the name Xenorhabdus nematophila str. Websteri. RNAcentral's name for it is "RtT". The stretch from base 41 to 158 matches the Rfam family "RtT RNA". From Rfam's summary of the family: This family represents a bacterial cis-regulatory element known as RtT RNA. The record is from RNAcentral. Lineage: Bacteria; Pseudomonadati; Pseudomonadota; Gammaproteobacteria; Enterobacterales; Morganellaceae.